AGGGUUGCUGGAGGUAUCAGAAGUGCGAAUGCUGACAUAAGUAACGAUAAAGCGGGUGAAAAGCCCGCUCGCCGGAAGACCAAGGGUUCCUGUCCAACGUUAAUCGGGGCAGGGUGAGUCGACCCCUAAGGCGAGGCCGAAAGGCGUAGUCGAUGGGAAACGGGUUAAUAUUCCCGUACUUGGUGUUACUGCGAAGGGGGGACGGAGAAGGCUAUGUUGGCCGGGCGACGGUUGUCCCGGUUUAAGCGUGUAGGUGUGUGUUCCAGGUAAAUCCGGUUCACUUUAACACUGAGGCGUGACGACGAGGCACCACGGUGCUGAAGCAACAAAUGCCCUGCUUCCAGGAAAAGCCUCUAAGCAUCAGGUAACAUCAAAUCGUACCCCAAACCGACACAGGUGGUCAGGUAGAGAAUACCAAGGCGCUUGAGAGAACUCGGGUGAAGGAACUAGGCAAAAUGGUGCCGUAACUUCGGGAGAAGGCACGCUGACACGUAGGUGAAGUGAUUUACUCACGGAGCUGAAGUCAGUCGAAGAUACCAGCUGGCUGCAACUGUUUAUUAAAAACACAGCACUGUGCAAACACGAAAGUGGACGUAUACGGUGUGACGCCUGCCCGGUGCCGGAAGGUUAAUUGAUGGGGUCAGCGCAAGCGAAGCUCCUGAUCGAAGCCCCGGUAAACGGCGGCCGUAACUAUAACGGUCCUAAGGUAGCGAAAUUCCUUGUCGGGUAAGUUCCGACCUGCACGAAUGGCGUAAUGAUGGCCAGGCUGUCUCCACCCGAGACUCAGUGAAAUUGAACUCGCUGUGAAGAUGCAGUGUACCCGCGGCAAGACGGAAAGACCCCGUGAACCUUUACUAUAGCUUGACACUGAACAUUGAGCCUUGAUGUGUAGGAUAGGUGGGAGGCUUUGAAGUGUGGACGCCAGUCUGCAUGGAGCCGACCUUGAAAUACCACCCUUUAAUGUUUGAUGUUCUAACGUGGACCCGUAAUCCGGGUUGCGGACAGUGUCUGGUGGGUAGUUUGACUGGGGCGGUCUCCUCCUAAAGAGUAACGGAGGAGCACGAAGGUUGGCUAAUCCUGGUCGGACAUCAGGAGGUUAGUGCAAUGGCAUAAGCCAGCUUGACUGCGAGCGUGACGGCGCGAGCAGGUGCGAAAGCAGGUCAUAGUGAUCCGGUGGUUCUGAAUGGAAGGGCCAUCGCUCAACGGAUAAAAGGUACUCCGGGGAUAACAGGCUGAUACCGCCCAAGAGUUCAUAUCGACGGCGGUGUUUGGCACCUCGAUGUCGGCUCAUCACAUCCUGGGGCUGAAGUAGGUCCCAAGGGUAUGGCUGUUCGCCAUUUAAAGUGGUACGCGAGCUGGGUUUAGAACGUCGUGAGACAGUUCGGUCCCUAUCUGCCGUGGGCGCUGGAGAACUGAGGGGGGCUGCUCCUAGUACGAGAGGACCGGAGUGGACGCAUCACUGGUGUUCGGGUUGUCAUGCCAAUGGCACUGCCCGGUAGCUAAAUGCGGAAGAGAUAAGUGCUGAAAGCAUCUAAGCACGAAACUUGCCCCGA
Molecule: ribosomal RNA, 1553 nt
Filed under: Salmonella enterica
Lineage: Bacteria; Pseudomonadati; Pseudomonadota; Gammaproteobacteria; Enterobacterales; Enterobacteriaceae
Description: partial 23S ribosomal RNA
Rfam family: Bacterial large subunit ribosomal RNA
Source: RNAcentral